GGGCGAGUGGCGGAACUGGUAUACGCGCAGGUCUCAAAAACCUGUGGGCGCAAGCUCUUGAGGGUUCGAUUCCCUCCUCGCCCACCA
This 87-nucleotide transfer RNA is filed under the name Candidatus Veblenbacteria bacterium RIFOXYA2_FULL_43_9. RNAcentral's name for it is "tRNA-Leu". It matches the Rfam family "tRNA". From Rfam's summary of the family: Transfer RNA (tRNA) molecules are approximately 80 nucleotides in length. Their secondary structure includes four short double-helical elements and three loops (D, anti-codon, and T loops). RNAcentral also lists the same sequence under 4 other names. Lineage: Bacteria; Candidatus Vebleniibacteriota. The record is from RNAcentral.